Molecule: unclassified non-coding RNA, 253 nt
Filed under: uncultured Chlamydiales bacterium
Lineage: Bacteria; Pseudomonadati; Chlamydiota; Chlamydiia; Chlamydiales
Description: contains 16S-23S intergenic spacer region
Rfam family: Bacterial small subunit ribosomal RNA
Source: RNAcentral
UACGGAGGGUGCAAGCAUUAAUCGGAAUUAUUGGGCGUAAAGGGCGCGUAGGCGGAUUUGUAAGUCAGAUGUGAAAUUCCGGAGCUCAACUUCGGAGCUGCAUUUGAAACUGUAAGUCUAGAGGAAUGGCGGAGAAAAUGGAAUUCCACGUGUAGCGGUGAAAUGCGUAGAUAUGUGGAAGAACACCAGUGGCGAAAGCGGUUUUCUAGCUUUUACCUGACGCUGAGGCGCGAGAGCAAGGGGAGCAAACAGG